This 253-nucleotide ribosomal RNA is filed under the name uncultured bacterium. Its description in RNAcentral is "partial 16S ribosomal RNA". It matches the Rfam family "Bacterial small subunit ribosomal RNA", at positions 524 to 776 of the family's 1533-position model. The record is from RNAcentral.
UACGUAGGGUGCAGGCGUUAAUCGGAAUUACUGGGCGUAAAGCGCACGUAGGCGGUUUGUUAAGUCGGAUGUGAAAGCCCUGGGCUCAACCCAGGAAGUGCAUUCGAAACUGGCAAGCUUGAGUAUGGAAGAGGGUCGCGGAAUUCCCGGUGUAGAGGUGAAAUUCGUAGAUAUCGGGAGGAACACCAGUGGCGAAGGCGGCGACCUGGGCCAAUACUGACGCUGAGGUGCGAAAGCGUGGGGAGCAAACAGG